This 403-nucleotide ribosomal RNA is filed under the name bacterium. RNAcentral's name for it is "partial 16S ribosomal RNA". It matches the Rfam family "Bacterial small subunit ribosomal RNA", at positions 355 to 776 of the family's 1533-position model. The record is from RNAcentral.
UGGGGAAUAUUGCACAAUGGAGGGAACUCUGAUGCAGCGACGCCGCGUGAACGAAGAAGGCUUUCGAGUCGUAAAGUUCUUUUAUAUGGGAAGAUAAUGACGGUACCAUAAGAAGAAGCCCCGGCUAACUACGUGCCAGCAGCCGCGGUAAUACGUAGGGGGCUAGCGUUGUCCGGAAUCACUGGGCGUAAAGGGUUCGCAGGCGGAAAUGCAAGUCAGGUGUAAAAGGCAGUAGCUUAACUACUGUAAGCAUUUGAAACUGCAUAUCUUGAGAAGAGUAGAGGUAAGUGGAAUUUUUAGUGUAGCGGUGAAAUGCGUAGAUAUUAAAAAGAAUACCGGUGGGGAAGGCGACUUACUGGGCUCAUUCUGACGCUGAGGAACGAAAGCGUGGGUAGCAAACAGG